RNAcentral lists this ribosomal RNA (496 nucleotides) under uncultured bacterium. RNAcentral's name for it is "partial 16S ribosomal RNA". It matches the Rfam family "Bacterial small subunit ribosomal RNA", at positions 28 to 507 of the family's 1533-position model. The record is from RNAcentral.
GAUGAACGCUGGCGGCGUGCCUAAUACAUGCAAGUCGAGCGAACAGAUGAGGAGCUUGCUCCUCUGACGUUAGCGGCGGACGGGUGAGUAACACGUGGAUAACCUACCUAUAAGACUGGGAUAACUUCGGGAAACCGGAGCUAAUACCGGAUAAUAUAUUGAACCGCAUGGUUCAAUAGUGAAAGACGGUUUGCUGUCACUUAUAGAUGGAUCCGCGCCGCAUUAGCUAGUUGGUAAGGUAACGGCUUACCAAGGCAACGAUGCGUAGCCGACCUGAGAGGGUGAUCGGCCACAUGGGAACUGAACCACGGUCCAGACGCCUAAGGGAGGCAGCAGUAGGGAAUCUUCCGCAAUGGGCGAAGGCCUGACGGAGCAACGCCGCGUGAGUGAUGAAGGUCUUCGGAUCGUAAAACUCUGUUAUUAGGGAAGAACAAAUGUGUAAGUAACUAUGCACGUCUUGACGGUACCUAAUCAGAAAGCCACGGCUAACUACGUG